RNAcentral lists this ribosomal RNA (856 nucleotides) under uncultured soil archaeon. RNAcentral's name for it is "bacterial SSU rRNA". It matches the Rfam family "Archaeal small subunit ribosomal RNA", at positions 21 to 859 of the family's 1478-position model. The record is from RNAcentral.
ACCCGACUGCUAUCGGAUUGAGAUUAGCCAUGCGAGUCGAACGCCCCCUGUGCGGGGGCGUGGCGUACGGCUCAGUAACACGUAGUCAACUGCCCGGGAGACAAGGACAACCCCGGGAAACUGGGAUUAAUCCUCGAUAGGUCAUCUCAUCUGGAAGGAGAGAUGGCUUAAAGGGGUACGAGGGCUUCUUCCACGUAUUCGCUCCAGGAUGGGACUGCGACCGAUCAGGCUGUGGGCGGGGUAAUGGCCCACCAAACCUGUAACCGGUACGGGCCUUGAGAGAGGUGGCCCGGAGAUGGACACUGAGAGAAGGGUCCAGGUCCUACGGGGCGCAGCAGGCGCGAAACCUUCGCAAUGCGCGAAAGCGUGACGAGGUUAAUCCGAGUGACUCCCGCUGAGGGGGUCUUUUGUCAGCUGUAAAUAGGCAGGCGAAUAAGGGGAGGGCAAGCCUGGUGUCAGCCGCCGCGGUAAUACCAGCUCCUCGAGUGGUCGGGGCGAUUAUUGGGCCUAAAGCAUCCGUAGCCGGUUCCGUAGGUCCUCUGUUAAAUCCAACUGCUUAACAGUUGACCUGCAGAGGAUACCGCGGGACUAGGAGGCGGGAGAGGCGGACGGUACUCCGCGUGUAGGGGUAAAAUCCUUUGAUCCGCGGAAGACCACCAGUGGCGAAGGCGGUCCGCCAGAACGCGCUCGACGGUGAGGGAUGAAAGCUGGGGGAGCGAACCGGAUUAGAUACCCGGGUAGUCCCAGCCGUAAACGAUGCUAGCUAGAUGAUUCAUUCGCAAGUCGCGAAUGAAGUGUCGCAGGGAAGCCGUUAAGCUAGCCGCCUGGGGAGUACGGUCGCAAGACUGAAACUUAA